CCCGACGACUGGCAUUCAUCGUUUACGGGGGGACUACCAGGGUAUCUAAUCCUGUUUGCUCCCCACACUUUCGUACCUCAGCGUCAGUAUCGAGCCAGUGAGCCGCCUUCGCCACUGGUGUUCCUCCAAAUAUCUACGAAUUUCACCUCUACACUUGGAAUUCCACUCACCUCUCUCGAACUCAAGACCAGGAGUUUUGGAGGCAGUCCCGGGGUUGAGCCCCGGGAUUUCACCCCCAACUUUCUGAUCCGCCUACGUACGCUUUACGCCCAGUAAUUCCGAACAACGCUAACCCCCUCCGUAUUACCGCGGCUGCUGGCACGGAGUUAGCCGGGGUUUCUUUACCAGGUACUGUCAUUAUCAUCCCUGGCGAAAGUGCUUUACGAUCCUAAGACCUUCAUCACACACGCGGCAUGGCUAGAUCAGGCUUGCGCCCAUUGUGUAAGAUUCCCCACUGCUGCCUCCCGUAGGAGUCUGGGCCGUGUCUCAGUCCCAGUGUUGCUGAUCAUCCUCUAAAACCAGCUAUAGAUCGUAGACUUGGUAGGCCAUUACCCCACCAACUAUCUAAUCUAACGCGGGCCGAUCCUUCUCCGAUAAAUCUUUCCCCCGAAGGGCGUAUGCGGUAUUACUCACCGUUUCCAGUGGCUAUUCCGCAGAGAAGGGCACGUUCCCACGCGUUACUAACCCGUCCGCCGCCAGACCCGAAGGUCUCGCUCGACUUGCAUGUGUUAGGCCUGCCGCCAGCGUUCGUUUUGAGCCAGGAUCAAACUCU
Molecule: ribosomal RNA, 772 nt
Filed under: uncultured bacterium
Lineage: Bacteria
Description: partial 16S ribosomal RNA
Source: RNAcentral